Small nucleolar RNA from Trichechus manatus latirostris (Florida manatee), 81 nucleotides. RefSeq annotates it as small nucleolar RNA SNORD115. NCBI's taxonomy places the organism in Eukaryota, Metazoa, Chordata, Mammalia, Sirenia, Trichechidae. The transcript has a single exon. The record is from RefSeq and is a predicted model, not a curated record.
GGGUCAAUGUUGACACGGAAACUUGUCUUGAAGACAGGUGAUGACAUAAAAAUCAUGCUCAGUAGGAUUACGCUGAGGUCC